Molecule: unclassified non-coding RNA, 1629 nt
Filed under: Zea mays
Lineage: Eukaryota; Viridiplantae; Streptophyta; Magnoliopsida; Poales; Poaceae
Description: misc RNA Zm00001eb339050
Source: RNAcentral
CUCUCUCCGUCGCAUACCCCACUGGACAACUGCACAACACACGGUGCGGUGCAGUGCAGUGCAAUGCAAUGCAACCGCAACCACCAUCACACAGGAAGACAAAAGAUCAUCAUCGAAGGAACUAGACGGCAAGGUCAUGCAGCCGGAUUGCAUGCAUGCGUUGAACGAGCGCUUGCAGUGCGCGAUGGCGCUCUGGAUGCCGUCCUGCACCUGCAGCAGCGAGUCGUCCCGCCGCUGCGGCUGCGGGCCACUCAGAGCCGCCGCCGCGGGAGAGGGCGCCACCGCAACCGCGGACGACGCCGACCGGCUCUUCCCCAGCCGCUUGCACGCCUGCUUCAGCCCCGCGGGCACGCUGGCGCGUGGCGCGCGCACGCCGCACGCCACCACCCCCGCCGGCACGGACGGUGGAGGAGCCUGCGACGGGGACGGGUCCGCCUCCGCGUCCGUCUCCUCCUCUCCCUCGCUCGCCGCGCCGCCGAAGCGGAGCCGCUCGCCGUACCGCCGGGACACCUUCACGUACAGCGGCCUGAUCUUGCUCAGGUACCGCAGGACCACCUCCUUGGCGAACCGCCGCUCCUCCGCGGUGAUCGACGCCGCCACCUCCUGCUCCUGCUGCUGGGGCUCCGCCGCCGCCGCCGCUGCCGUAGCCGGCCGGUCCGCGACGGCGUCCGAGGCGCGCGAGCUGUUGUCGCGCGUGAACAGUGACGCCAGCGGCGUCGCGUCGUCCACCCGGAGCUUUACCAGGAACCGGCUCGCCACCGGCGCGGCGCUGGUGCCGGCCGCGUCCGCCGCCGCCAGGCCGCCCUUGGGCUUCCGUAGCUUGAGCAGCAGCACGCGAAACCUGGUGGCCGGACGGGGCAGCGACGGCGGCGGCGCGGCCUCAGGCUCCGCCUCUGCCGCCGGCGCGACGGCGGCCACGGGCGCCACGACGCCUUCGUCACCCGCGGCGAAGCUGAGCUCGACCCGCUCCUCCUCGACGUCGGACGUGGCGCUCUCGUCGCCGGGCACCGCGAACUCCAGGUCGAAGAAGGAGGAGGCGUCGUCGCCGUACUCGCACGCCGACGCGGCGAUGGUCGUGGCGGCCGCGGGCGCGCGAUGGGCGCCGGUGAGCACGCCGCCGCGCAGGUACUUGAGGAAGCUGAAGGAGUCCAUGGCGCGAGGAACAGCGGCACGAGUGGGAGCUCCCUCUCGCUCCUCUGCAGCGGUCGAAAAGAGACACUACCUACUUUUUUUACAGAGACUUUUGAGGAGAGGAAGGAGAGGGCAGAGAAAUGAGGAGUGAGGACCGGCUGGAGAUAUGGAGGAGGAGGAGGACAAGCUCCUGCUGCUGGUGCAGCCAUCAAUGCCAAGUAGACGAGCAGCAGUGCGGGCGUGGGGUUGGACGGGGAGGGCGGCGUCGGCUGUCGACACUCGACAGGGCCCGUGCACUGCUCAGAGGGACUCUCGUGAUCUCCAUCUCCUCCACUCCAGCCAUCCGCGUCACACGCACUACUCAGACUAGCCGCAGCGGUAGACGCUGCCUCUCCCCCUCCCCUUGCAUGCGGCGCGUAGGGGGCACCCUAUGGCCGCAGCGGUGCCCCUACAGCGCCUCCUACAUGUCGGUCCUCUUCUCUCCCCCCAGAUUUAGCG